GAUGAACGCUGGCGGCGUGCUUAACACAUGCAAGUCGAACGGUGAAGGAGGAGCUUGCUCUUGUGGAUCAGUGGAGAACGGGUGAGUAACACGUGAGCAACCUGCCCCUGACUCUGGGAUAAGCGCUGGAAACGGCGUCAAAUAAUGGAUAGGUGAUGUGACCGCAAGGUCUGCAGCUGGAAAGGAUUUCGGUUGGGGAUGGGAUCGCGGCCUAUCAGCUUGUUAGUGAGGUAAUGGCUCACCAAGGCGUCGACGGGUAUCCGGCCUGAGAGGGUGACCGGCCACACUGGGACUGAGACACGGCCCAGACUCCUACGGGAGGCAGCAGUGGGGAAUAUUGCACAAUGGGCGGAAGCCUGAUGCAGCAACGCCGCGUGAGGGAUGACGGCCUUCGGGUUGUAAACCUCUUUUAGCAGGGAAGAAGCGAAAGUGACGGUACCUGCAGAAAAAGCACUGGCUAACUACGUGCCAGCCGCCGCCGUAA
This 484-nucleotide ribosomal RNA is filed under the name uncultured bacterium. Its description in RNAcentral is "partial 16S ribosomal RNA". It matches the Rfam family "Bacterial small subunit ribosomal RNA", at positions 28 to 523 of the family's 1533-position model. The record is from RNAcentral.